Molecule: small RNA, 132 nt
Filed under: Salmonella enterica subsp. enterica
Lineage: Bacteria; Pseudomonadati; Pseudomonadota; Gammaproteobacteria; Enterobacterales; Enterobacteriaceae
Description: RtT sRNA
Rfam family: RtT RNA
About the family: This family represents a bacterial cis-regulatory element known as RtT RNA. The exact function of RtT is unknown although it is thought that it may be involved in changing the cellular response in relation to amino acid starvation.
Source: RNAcentral
AUAUCUCCGUACGGGGGAAGGAUGAGAAGUUUCGACUAAGGUUCGAUUCGAGCGCAGUGAGAAAGCGUUGCUGCAGGCAACGACCCGAAGGGCGAAGCGCGCGCAGCGCUGAGUCAUCCUUCCCCACCACCA